This 500-nucleotide ribosomal RNA is filed under the name uncultured bacterium. RNAcentral describes it as "partial 16S ribosomal RNA". It matches the Rfam family "Bacterial small subunit ribosomal RNA", at positions 30 to 523 of the family's 1533-position model. The record is from RNAcentral.
AUUGAACGCUGGCGGAGUGCUUUACACAUGCAAGUCGAACGGCAGCACGGACUUCGGUCUGGUGGCGAGUGGCGAACGGGUGAGUAAUGUAUCGGAACGUGCCCAGUCGUGGGGGAUAACGUAGUGAAAAUUACGCUAAUACCGCAUACGAUCUAUGGAUGAAAGCGGGGGAUCGCAAGACCUCGCGCGAUUGGAGCGGCCGAUAUCAGAUUAGGUAGUUGGUGGGGUAAAGGCCCACCAAGCCAACGAUCUGUAGCUGGUCUGAGAGGACGACCAGCCACACUGGAACUGGGACACGGUCCAGACUCCUACGGGAGGCAGCAGUUGGGAAUUUUGGACAAUGGGCGAAAGCCUGAUCCAGCCAUUCCGCGUGCAGGAUGAAGGCCCUCGGGUUGUAAACUGCUUUUGUACAGAACGAAAAGGUUUCUACUAAUACUAGGAGCUCAUGACGGUACUGUAAGAAUAAGCACCGGCUAACUACGUGCCAGCAGCCGCAGUAA